Long non-coding RNA from Spinacia oleracea (spinach), 3162 nucleotides. RefSeq lists it as uncharacterized. The transcript is spliced from 2 exons. Lineage: Eukaryota; Viridiplantae; Streptophyta; Magnoliopsida; Caryophyllales; Amaranthaceae. The record is from RefSeq and is a predicted model, not a curated record.
AACUUUAUGCAUGGUUUGUUGGUGAUUUUUGAUGAUUUUUUGUUUCUGAGUUUAUUCGUUUGUUGAUAAUUUUUUAUUAUUUUUUGAGUUUUCUGGGUUUUACGAUUUGUUGAUGAUUUUUAUGGUUUUCUAGGUUUGUUGGUUUCUAGAUGGCUUUUUAUGAUUCUUUUUUAUUUUAUUUUUCUGGGUUUUGAUAUGCUAAUGAUUUUUAUGGUUUUCUAGGUUUGUUGGUUUCUUGAUGAUUUUUUUAUUUUUAUUUUUCUGGGUUUGGAGCCAUUGGAGGGGGGAAUAGUGGUGGCGGUGAGGGGAGGGCAUCGCCGACGUUGAGGGGGGGGUGGAGAGCAACCGAACACCAAGGAGAGGGAUAGGAAGAGGGAGAGGGAGAGGGAGAGGGAGAAGGUUUGUUUUGUUUAAUAACUCUGUAUUUAUUUAUUUAGAAAACAAUCCUACUUUCUCCCCUUCCCAUAAAAGUAUAGGUUAAAUCUAUUCUAAUAUUUAAUAGCAGGAGGUUGGAGAGCCAUGUGGUACUCUCCUAGAAUUUCAAAAUUUUAUUAUAUAAAAAUAAAAAAUAAAAAACCCUUGGAUUCUCUACCUUUUUCUGUUCUUUCAUCCCGUCGUUUCGCUAUGAAAUUCAUCUGUAAACUAACUACUCUUUAAUCUUUCAUAAUUCUCUUCCUUCUCGUACGAGUUCAAUUCAAACGUUUUUAUUUUGCAAAAACAUGGAAGUGAGUAAAUCUGAAAUUCACUUUUCAAGAGUUUUCCUUCUCUAUGUUUUCGCCUUUUCCUCCUUUUCUACAGAGUAUUAGUAUUAUAGUUCAAUUCAAUUUAAUUGUGUGGAAUGUGAUCAAUAUUUUUCUCUAUGGUGGAAAUUCAAAGACAAGAGGAUCUAGAGAAGAAGAUGAUUUUCCAGAUUGGAAAUUAUGACACUAAAGACAAGCCCUAAAUAUAUGCAGAACAAGGGUUCAUAAGAACAAUGGUUAUCUUAUGGUGUCCUGAAAUGAUGGACUUAAUCAAAUGCGUGUGGCGGUAUGUUGAUCAUUAGUAUAAGUAUUGAAUUGAAUCAAUUGAGAUAUAAAUUAUCUGUUCAUAUUUGUGGGUGUAUAAUUCUUGAUAAUGCACCAUCACCCCUCUUUGUUUAGUGGGAUUAUUGGUAUUGAAUCUUCGUUAAAUGUGGUUUCUUUGUUAAUGUAUGUUAAGUGUUCGACGAAAUGCCGCGCCGAAAGGGGUCAUUCAAUUAUGUGUUUCUUUCUCUGCUAGCAUAUUAGAAUUUUGGUACUAUUUGUUACUGAGUCCAUGGGGAUUCUUUGUUAAUGCAUGUUAAAUGUUCGGCGAAAUGCCACACUGAAAAGGGUCAUUCAAUUAUGUGUUUGCUAGCAUUAGAAUUUAGGUACUGUUUGUUGUUUAUUCAAUGGGGGUUAUGGUUUUGCUGUGAAUUUUUGAUAUACCGUGAUUUUGCAGGUGUUGUGAGUUGCUUCCUAAUUUCAGUAAAUUGUAGAUAGAUAGAUUGUAGUUUUGACAUCAGGGCUGUUGUACAUCGGUGAAAAUUUCUAUUUAGGGUUUAUCUGGUAGUCCUUCGGGUUAUUGUGUUCACUCGCCUGCUCGAUCCUCAAGAGCAUUAGAUGGGCGACUUUGUGCCGUACCUCAGCUUACAAAAUUUGGGAGGCUCCUUCGACUUGAAGGGUAUUAUGCUAAUUAUCCUCAAUAUUAUUUGCAUCACUAGCCCUUGGCAUAAUAAUGAUAAUGACAUGGAUUAUGUCUAAUACGCCCUCACUUUACAGAAAUUGAUUGGCUCAACUUAAGAGUAGAUAUUCUCGACCUCAGCUUUUGUAAUUUAACACCUUACUUAUUCUCUGCCUCUUAUUCCUUUCUCUCAAACUCUCAGUGUUUAUUGACCAACAACUAAUUUCUCAAUGUUUACACGUUAUAUUAUACAGUAUGACAGUAAGUGGAAUGUUAGGAUAAGUGAGAGUAAGACAUAUCUUAGACUUGAGUCACUGUCUUAGCAUUAGAUAAUAUGCAAUUGUUAAUGUUGUAAUUGAGCCUUGGGAUGAGAUUAUUGUCCAACCAUCAGCAGGUCCUUUGUUCGGGAUGGGAUUAUUGUCCAAUCAUCAGCACUCAGCAGGUCCUUUGUUGAUGCAAACACUAUAAGGGCCUAAGGGGAGAAAUGAUCUACAUAACACAGAAGAGUCAGGCAUGAAGAUUCUUUACCCUUCAUUAAAUAGCAUGUUUUAUGUUUAGCUUGCUUAUAUCAUGUUCACAUUCUGUUUAAUUAUUGUGCAACUUAGAAUGAGUGGCCUAUGCUAGAAAGUCCCUGACUAGGGAGCUUAAACCAGUAUAACACCUAUACAUAUUUCAAUAUUUCAUGAUCCAAAUGUAAUCUGAUGAACAAUCAAGUCCAAUUUCUAUAAAAUCAAUGAUCAUCUUCUUACGCAAAAAGACCAGAAAGUACGGCCAAAAAGAAUUAUUAUUUUAUUCGUUAUAAAUCAAUACGAAGUAUUUGCUUGAGAACUAAUUGAUGUGAAAUUCAAGCAGGAGUCAGGAGUCAGGAGUGCAUGCUUUAUGAUAACAAUAUGGCUCUGCGAUUAUUUGUCAUAUGUUUUGUUCGUACAAUUAUGUUUUUCAAUGCUGAUAUUGAUAAAGGUCUAAUUUGUAAGGCGUUCUUAUAGAAAAUGUACCCAUUUUUUAAAAUGAUUGAGAACUAAUUGAUGUGUAAUUCAAUUAAGAGUGCAUGCUUUAUAAUAACAAUGUGGCAUUACUAUUAUUUGUCAUAUACUUCUUAUAUUUUGUUAUCGUACAAUUAUAUUUUUUUUAAUGCUGACGUUGGCGGUUUAAUGUGUAAGAUGGUCCUAUAGAAGACUUACCUAUUUAAUAGUUAUAAAUAAAAACAAAUUGAUAACUGAUAUCGUUCCUUUGCAGAUUAAAGGGAAAAUAAUAAGAGGCAUCGACAACAUCGGCAUCGACAACAUAGCAAAGGAAUAGGUCAUUGGUGUGGAAUGCAGGGCAUCAACAACGCAAUUAUAAUUUUUCUUAUAUUAAAGAAUAGUUUUUUUGAUUGUAACUAAUCUGUUUGAUUUUAUCUACUCCGUAUUAUGUUAGGAAUAACUUUUAAAGAAUGUAAUACUAAAACUUUAAUCAUGUAUUGUACAAAGAAUUUAACUAAGA